Molecule: non-coding RNA, 27 nt
Filed under: Homo sapiens (human)
Lineage: Eukaryota; Metazoa; Chordata; Mammalia; Primates; Hominidae
Source: RNAcentral
GUCAGUGAGUGCUCUCCAUUCUGGAGC